UGGGGAAUAUUGGACAAUGGGGGCAACCCUGAUCCAGCAAUGCCGCGUGUGUGAAGAAGGCCUUCGGGUUGUAAAGCACUUUUAUCGGGAACGAAACAUUGUCGGCCAAUACCCGGCAAGACUGACGGUACCCGAGGAAUAAGGAUCGGCUAACUCCGUGCCAGCAGCCGCGGUCAUACGGAGGAUCCAAGCGUUAUCCGGAAUUACUGGGCGUAAAGAGUUGCGUAGGUGGCAAAGUGUGUCUGUAGUGAAAGCGUGGGGCUCAACCCCAUAUACAUUAUAGAAACUGCUUGGCUAGAGGACGAGAGAGGUUAUUGGAAUUCCCAGUGUAGGAGUGAAAUCCGUAGAUAUUGGGAGGAACACCGAUGGCGUAGGCAGAUAACUGGCUCGUUCCUGACACUAAGGCACGAAAGCGUGGGGAGCAAAC
RNAcentral lists this ribosomal RNA (427 nucleotides) under uncultured bacterium. RNAcentral describes it as "bacterial SSU rRNA". It matches the Rfam family "Bacterial small subunit ribosomal RNA", at positions 355 to 773 of the family's 1533-position model. The record is from RNAcentral.